CUCUUUCCCUCUAGCAGCACGUAUAAGCACCUCCCCAAUCCUCACGCUCCCUCUCUCUUAAAUCUGCCAUUCUCUCUCUCUCGCUCUCUCCUUUGGCAGAUGUCGCCGGUCCUCCCCGCCUCCGGCGCGGCGAGGCCGGCCCUCUCCUUCCCCCUCCUUCCUUUCUCUUCUCUAUUUUCUUCUCUAAUUCUAAAAUUCCUAACUUAUAUAUAUAGGGUUUCUGUCUCUCUUUUCCCCUCUGAGAUUCGUCUCUCCGGCGAAGCCUACCGCCCCGCCGUCGUCUCUGUCACGCCGCCGCCUCCUCUGUUUCAGGAAUCGAUGAUUCAACUCCGGCGAGGCAGCCCGCCUCCUGAUCAAUGCUCAAGAUUCUAUUUUUUUUCUACUUUUCUUAUUGUAAAUUAUGUUCUUUCAUUGAUUGAUUAUUGAAAAACUGAAGCUGUAAUGGUUGGGGAAAUCGUACUGUGCUUAUAGAAAUUAGAGUUAGAGAUAUCUAUUUGUGCUUAACUGGUGUAGCUAUGUCUGUUUUCACUGCUUUUCUUUACAUAAAGAAUCUACUGUAUUGAAAGAAA
This is a long non-coding RNA of Salvia miltiorrhiza (redroot sage), 569 nucleotides long. RefSeq lists it as uncharacterized. The record is from RefSeq and is a predicted model, not a curated record. The transcript has 2 exons. Lineage: Eukaryota; Viridiplantae; Streptophyta; Magnoliopsida; Lamiales; Lamiaceae.